This 1372-nucleotide ribosomal RNA is filed under the name uncultured bacterium. Its description in RNAcentral is "bacterial SSU rRNA". It matches the Rfam family "Bacterial small subunit ribosomal RNA", at positions 28 to 1381 of the family's 1533-position model. The record is from RNAcentral.
GAUGAACGCUGGCGGCGUGCCUAAUACAUGCAAGUCGAGCGAACGGACGAGAAGCUUGCUUCUCUGAUGUUAGCGGCGGACGGGUGAGUAACACGUGGAUAACCUACCUAUAAGACUGGGAUAACUUCGGGAAACCGGAGCUAAUACCGGAUAAUAUUUUGAACCGCAUGGUUCAAAAGUGAAAGACGGUCUUGCUGUCACUUAUAGAUGGAUCCGCGCUGCAUUAGCUAGUUGGUAAGGUAACGGCUUACCAAGGCAACGAUGCAUAGCCGACCUGAGAGGGUGAUCGGCCACACUGGAACUGAGACACGGUCCAGACUCCUACGGGAGGCAGCAGUAGGGAAUCUUCCGCAAUGGGCGAAAGCCUGACGGAGCAACGCCGCGUGAGUGAUGAAGGUCUUCGGAUCGUAAAACUCUGUCAUUAGGGAAGAACAUAUGUGUAAGUAACUGUGCACAUCUUGACGGUACCUAAUCAGAAAGCCACGGCUAACUACGUGCCAGCAGCCGCGGUAAUACGUAGGUGGCAAGCGUUAUCCGGAAUUAUUGGGCGUAAAGCGCGCGUAGGCGGUUUUUUAAGUCUGAUGUGAAAGCCCACGGCUCAACCGUGGAGGGUCAUUGGAAACUGGAAAACUUGAGUGCAGAAGAGGAAAGUGGAAUUCCAUGUGUAGCGGUGAAAUGCGCAGAGAUAUGGAGGAACACCAGUGGCGAAGGCGACUUUCUGGUCUGUAACUGACGCUGAUGUGCGAAAGCGUGGGGAUCAAACAGGAUUAGAUACCCUGGUAGUCCACGCCGUAAACGAUGAGUGCUAAGUGUUAGGGGGUUUCCGCCCCUUAGUGCUGCAGCUAAUGCAUUAAGCACUCCGCCUGGGGAGUACGACCGCAAGGUUGAAACUCAAAGGAAUUGACGGGGACCCGCACAAGCGGUGGAGCAUGUGGUUUAAUUCGAAGCAACGCGAAGAACCUUACCAAAUCUUGACAUCCUUUGACAACUCUAGAGAUAGAGCCUUCCCCUUCGGGGGACAAAGUGACAGGUGGUGCAUGGUUGUCGUCAGCUCGUGUCGUGAGAUGUUGGGUUAAGUCCCGCAACGAGCGCAACCCUUAAGCUUAGUUGCCAUCAUUAAGUUGGGCACUCUAAGUUGACUGCCGGUGGCAAACCGGAGGAAGGUGGGGAUGACGUCAAAUCAUCAUGCCCCUUAUGAUUUGGGCUACACACGUGCUACAAUGGACAAUACAAAGGGCAGCGAAACCGCGAGGUCAAGCAAAUCCCAUAAAGUUGUUCUCAGUUCGGAUUGUAGUCUGCAACUCGACUACAUGAAGCUGGAAUCGCUAGUAAUCGUAGAUCAGCAUGCUACGGUGAAUACGUUCCCGGGUCU